UACGAAGGGGGCAAGCGUUGUUCGGAAUUACUGGGCGUAAAGGGCGCGUAGGCGGCUUACCAAGUCAGGCGUGAAAUUCCCGGGCUCAACCUGGGGGCUGCGCUUGAUACUGGUGAGCUUGAAUGCGGGAGAGGAUAGUGGAAUUCCCAGUGUAGAGGUGAAAUUCGUAGAUAUUGGGAAGAACACCGGUGGCGAAGGCGGCUAUCUGGCCCGUAAUUGACGCUGAGGCGCGGAAGCGUGGGGAGCAAACAGG
Molecule: ribosomal RNA, 253 nt
Filed under: uncultured bacterium
Lineage: Bacteria
Description: partial 16S ribosomal RNA
Rfam family: Bacterial small subunit ribosomal RNA
Source: RNAcentral